This 486-nucleotide long non-coding RNA is filed under the name Vitis vinifera (wine grape). RNAcentral's name for it is "long non-coding RNA (VVIN_LNC007117)". Lineage: Eukaryota; Viridiplantae; Streptophyta; Magnoliopsida; Vitales; Vitaceae. The record is from RNAcentral.
GGAAGCCAAGCAGACAAACGAACUACUAAAUGAGGUCCCUUUUCAUGUUUUAAUCAAAGGGUCAAAAGCAGGUGAAAGAGGUAGGGGGUAAAAACAUGAUUCUCAUACAUUACGCAAUGAAGAUGGAUCAUAUUGAAGAUGAAUCUCAAGGAAGACCAAAGAUGCAGUAUAUGAACAGGGUAAGAUCUAGUCUAUCCAUAACUUAGAAAAGCAACAAGCAACAAGCAAUGGCCGUAUAUCUAAUGUUCACACCCAAUCAGCAAAAUAAAUAUUCAAAACCAUCAAAGAAUCCUCAAGAAUAGAAUAAGAUGAAGCAUAGGAAAUAGCUGAAAACGCACCUGGGCAGUCUUAGCUGCAAUGGCUCGGCUUCUGGCUAUCUUUCUUCUUCCCUCCGAAGACAAUUCCCAGAUAAAAAAUCCUCUUUUGCUUGUUCUUUCUUCCUCCUCCUCCCUUUCUCUAAAAAAAAUCCUCUGAUGCAUGCCCCAU